CAGCCCUAAACGAUGCGCGUUAGGUGUAUCGGUGACCACGAGUCACCGAGGUGCCGAAGGGAAACCGUGAAACGUGCCGCCUGGGAAGUACGGUCGCAAGGCUGAAACUUAAAGGAAUUGGCGGGGAGCACCACAACGGGUGGAGCCUGCGGUUUAAUUUGGACUCAACGCCGGGAAGCUCACCGGAUAAGACAGCGGAAUGAUUGCCGGGCUGAAGACCCUGCAUGACCAGCUGAGAGGAGGUGCAUGGCGUAGUCGUGU
RNAcentral lists this ribosomal RNA (261 nucleotides) under uncultured archaeon. RNAcentral's name for it is "partial 16S ribosomal RNA". It matches the Rfam family "Archaeal small subunit ribosomal RNA", at positions 748 to 1009 of the family's 1478-position model. The record is from RNAcentral.